This 72-nucleotide transfer RNA is filed under the name Emblema pictum (painted firetail). Its description in RNAcentral is "tRNA-Glu". It matches the Rfam family "tRNA". From Rfam's summary of the family: Transfer RNA (tRNA) molecules are approximately 80 nucleotides in length. Their secondary structure includes four short double-helical elements and three loops (D, anti-codon, and T loops). Further hydrogen bonds mediate the characteristic L-shaped molecular structure. tRNAs have two regions of fundamental functional importance: the anti-codon, which is responsible for specific mRNA codon recognition, and the 3' end, to which the tRNAs corresponding amino acid is attached (by aminoacyl-tRNA synthetases). tRNAs cope with the degeneracy of the genetic code in two manners: having more than one tRNA (with a specific anti-codon) for a particular amino acid; and 'wobble' base-pairing, i.e. permitting non-standard base-pairing at the 3rd anti-codon position. Lineage: Eukaryota; Metazoa; Chordata; Aves; Passeriformes; Estrildidae. The record is from RNAcentral.
GUUCCUGUAGUUAAAUGAGCAUAGCGACGGCUUUUCGAGCCGUAGGUCUCAGAGAGAAGCUGGGUAGGAACA